AUUGAACGCUGGCGGCAUGCUUUACACAUGCAAGUCGAACGGUAACAGGGAGCUUGCUCCGCUGACGAGUGGCGAACGGGUGAGUAAUGCGUCGGAACGUGCCGAGUAGUGGGGGAUAACGCAGCGAAAGUUGUGCUAAUACCGCAUACGUACUGAGGUAGAAAGUGGGGGACCUGCGGGCCUCACGCUAUUCGAGCGGCCGACGUCUGAUUAGCUAGUAGGUGGGGUAAAGGCUCACCUAGGCGACGAUCAGUAGCGGGUCUGAGAGGAUGAUCCGCCACACUGGGACUGAGACACGGCCCAGACUCCUACGGGAGGCAGCAGUGGGGAGUUUUGGACAAUGGGCGAAGGCCUGAUCCAGCCAUGCCGCGUGUCUGAAGAAGGCCUUCGGGUUGUAAAGGACUUUUGUCGGGGAGGUAAUCCCCAGCGCUAAUACCGCUGGGGGAUGACAGUACCUGAAGAAUAAGCACCGGCUAACUACGUGCCAGCCGCCGCGGUAA
RNAcentral lists this ribosomal RNA (500 nucleotides) under uncultured bacterium. Its description in RNAcentral is "partial 16S ribosomal RNA". It matches the Rfam family "Bacterial small subunit ribosomal RNA", at positions 30 to 523 of the family's 1533-position model. The record is from RNAcentral.